CAAAGUACAGAACCUUCUUCUUGAGCAGAAAGUUCUUUUCGAUCAAGAACACGAGGGCGUUGGUUAGCCAUUCGGUGAAGAGACGGCCGCAGAAGAUCACCAUCACCAUCAAGCUCCAUCUCCAGAGACCUCCUCGUCGUCCCCGCCCACACUAUUGUCACCUCCCGUUAACGGCGUCUUUGGAGUCUGUUUUGGCGAUGCGACGGGAGGUGCAGGUUGUGGCUCGAUUGGCUUGGAUUUGAAUGGAUAUGGCGGCUCGGCUAUCCUGGACUUGGGCUUGGCAUAAGCUGAGGUUCUUCUUCUGAUGGGUUGGGGAGGCAUUGGUGAAGGCUGUUGAAUUUGAGGUGAGGAAGAUGGUGAUGGAGAUGGAGAUGGAGGUUUAAUUGAAGUUUGAGGGUGUGUCUGUGUAGUGGUGGAAAGUAGAGCUAGUUGGAGCAUGGACAGCUCCGCCAUUGAAGGGUUAUGGUGAUGGUCCUGGACCUUGAGGGGUGGUGGUUCAGAUUUGCCAUUGCCAAUAUUAUCUUGGGAAUAAUGGAUUUUGUCGGGCUGAAUCUCCACUACAAAGGUUUCGUUUUCUGAUGAUUUCUCCCCUCCUUCCAUUGAAGAUGAGGAAUGAAAAUGAUGAGGUGAAGUUAGUUAAUUCAGCCUGCUUAUAGUUAGCAUUGAAAUUUCAAUGUUGAGGAGGUGACUCCAAAGUCCACACGACAUGGCAUCAUUUGUGGGCGAACACGACAGUUGCAAACUAUGGUAGUCGGGAAAGAUGUUCGAGCAAAUUUUUGAUUAAAUCUAAUAGUCUGCAAACUAUUGAAGUGAUAUUGCACUUAUCCUAAACAAGAUUUGUGUGGCAAAUAAAAUAAAAAAAUUUCAAAAUCAUGAUCUAAUACAUUGAAAGGGUCACAAGUUUACUCUUGACACCGUACCAUCUCUUACGGGACAAAUGGUGAUUAUUUUAGGAAAGGGGAUAGAGUUCA
This is a long non-coding RNA of Andrographis paniculata, 971 nucleotides long. RefSeq lists it as uncharacterized. The transcript has 2 exons. The record is from RefSeq and is a predicted model, not a curated record. Lineage: Eukaryota; Viridiplantae; Streptophyta; Magnoliopsida; Lamiales; Acanthaceae.